GACGAACGCUGGCGGCGUGCUUAACACAUGCAAGUCGAACGGAAAGGCCCUGCUUUUGUGGGGUGCUCGAGUGGCGAACGGGUGAGUAACACGUGAGUAACCUGCCCUUGACUUUGGGAUAACUUCAGGAAACUGGGGCUAAUACCGGAUAGGAGCUCCUGCUGCAUGGUGGGGGUUGGAAAGUUUCGGCGGUUGGGGAUGGACUCGCGGCUUAUCAGCUUGUUGGUGGGGUAGUGGCUUACCAAGGCUUUGACGGGUAGCCGGCCUGAGAGGGUGAACGGCCACAUUGGGACUGAGAUACGGCCCAGACUCCUACGGGAGGCAGCAGUGGGGAAUAUUGCACAUGGGCGGAAGCCUGAUGCAGCAACGCCGCGUGCGGGAUGACGGCCUUCGGGUUGUAAACCGCUUUCGCCUGUGACGAAGCGUGAGUGACGGUAAUGGGUAAAGAAGCACCGGCUAACUACGUG
This 467-nucleotide ribosomal RNA is filed under the name uncultured bacterium. RNAcentral describes it as "partial 16S ribosomal RNA". It matches the Rfam family "Bacterial small subunit ribosomal RNA", at positions 28 to 507 of the family's 1533-position model. The record is from RNAcentral.